CUAUAUAUGAUAAAUAUACAAACGAAAUAUGUAACGUUUCGCUAGAUUCAAUUGCACCUCCACAAGUUUGUCCUAAAACUAAUAAAAAAAAAAAAAAGAACAUUUGUGUGAAAGCAUGUGCCUAAAGACACGAAUGUGUAAUAUGUACAUACUUGUAUAAAUGUAUGCAUAUGGGCUUGUGGAGCACAUUUUUUUUUUUUUUUUUUUUUUUUUUUUUUUUUUUUUUGCUUCUUUUGUUUUACGCAGUUUUUAUACUAUCUGGAUAAUCCGAUAAACGUGAAGAACACAUUCAAUGCUUGUAUGUCUAUGGCAUUGGACGAAAUAAUUCAAGAAAUAGAAAAAAAAAAAAACUUAGAUGAAUUUGAUGAAAAACAAAAAAAUACUUUAUUAAUUAUUAAAGAAAAAGCAAAUAAAAAGUAUUUUUCCUCUAUACGAAAAAUGGAAAAAAUAUUAUCGAAGUUUUUAAAUGAAAAUAAGAAAAUGUCCUUCGAUUUUUUCUUAAGGGGAUGUGAAAGUUAUGGACAUGUACUAAUGAAAUGCAAAGAAAAAUUAUUUGUAACGUUUAACAAAACAUACGGCUUACAUUUUAAAAACUUCGAAGAUUUUUGGCUUUAUGAAGAAGAGAAAAGGAAAGAAAAAUGGAAAGAGCUAUGGAUAUUAAAUGAAAACGAAAAAAAAAAUGUGUCAGUUCAUAAAAACGCGGAUGACAUAAAUAUUAUACCGAAUAAUUAUUACAAUGAAAAUAAUAACAAUAACGAUAAUAAUAUUAGCAACUGUAAUAACAAUAGUGACCUUAUCAAUAAUAACACAAAUAACAUUUUUAAUAAAAACACAAAUGAAGACGAUAUACACGACAAAAAAAACUUUCGCAUAAGACUUUCAUCGCAGUUAGUUGAAAACGAACACAACAAUAACUACAUUGAAAACGAAAAUGUACGUGUUAAUAAUGAAAAUAAUAUGGAAAUAAAUAAUAACACUAAUCUGUGUCAAGAUGAAAAAGAAAGUGAUAAAAAAACGCAUGUCUAUAAAGAAUGCAGGGAUGGCACUAAUACUUAAAAUAGUAGUAUCAAAAUAUUUGCACAUAUACAUAUAUACAUAUAUAUAUAUACAAUUUUUAAUUUUAUAUUUUUUUUUUUUUAAUUUUUUAUUUUUUUUAAUUUUUAUAUAUAUUGCAAAAUGCUUUACAAAAAUACAUAUUUUCAUCAGCUACAUUUUUUUAAAAACUGUAAUGGAGCUACUUUAAAGCUACACAUGCGCUACAUAUAUAUACACGUA
This 1275-nucleotide long non-coding RNA is filed under the name Piliocolobus tephrosceles (Ugandan red Colobus). RNAcentral describes it as "lncRNA (ENSPTEG00000001366.1)". The record is from RNAcentral. Lineage: Eukaryota; Metazoa; Chordata; Mammalia; Primates; Cercopithecidae.